UACACUAUGGGGGCCGCCAUUUUAUCAGUUAACCUUAAAGUUUUGUUUACCUACGAGGUUACGACGUUGUUGAACCAGUUGUAAUUUGGAGUUAAAAUUAUUACUUAAUUUGUUUUACCGUUAGUGUACGUGUGAACGUGCUUGUUAGUGUUAAAGGACAUUAUUAUUGACAACAAACAUGUCUUGUACAGUUUCUCACUGUAAAAAUUGUCAACGAUUUCGUUCAGAAGGUGUAUCUUUUCAUCAGUUUCCGAAAGAUUGAAAACUUUUAAAAAAGUGGCUGAUUGUUGUGAAAAAAGAUGACAGCUUCAAACUGACUAAGUAUAAGCUGGUGUGCUCAGAUCAUUUCACAACAACUGAUUUCAUUGUUGUAAAUGAGAGAAAACGAUUGAAAUCGAACGCAAUUCCCAGGGUGAAUUUAGAUGAAAGUCUAGAAGCUUCUUCAACUUCAAUGAGUACUGUGAGUGCUACUUCAGCUGAUAUUUGAGAAGAGUCUCCAUCGAUUAUACCUCAAGGUGUAAAGAGGACAUUAAGUGCUGCGCAGAGAUACCAUGGAAAAAGCAGUAGCAGUACAAGUGGAAGUAAAAGCAAGAACUCAAAAAGUAGUUCUGACAGGAGGGAAUAAAUAAAAUAAGCUGGCGUUACAUAAAGAAACUACAUGAAUUACAAAAUGAUGAAUUCCUAAAUGUUGCAAACAAGUUGAAAAAGGCACAUUUGGAGUGAUGGAAACAUAAAUCGAAAUUCUAUUAUAGGUGAGUUUAGCAGCACAAACUCUUAGCAAGAGUUGCGGAUGCACUUGAAUUUUUAAAAGAUCUUGGUAUUAGUGACUUUCAAGGUUCUCAAACAACAAUAGAAUUCAUCAGAAGGAUAGAUUCUUUAUUUGAUAUUCUCAAUUCCCGAAGUGUACGUGCUAAGAAUUUUAAGGCACCUUUGAGAGAAAACAAUGAAGAAAUGUGGCGUCCAUUUCUCAUCGACACCAGUGAGUAUCUUCUGAAUUUGAAGGAUGUCACUGGCGGGCCUUUGUGGUGCACGCCCCGAAAAACGUCAAUUCUGGGCUUUGUUAUUUCCGCUACGUCGUUCAUGGGAAUUUUUGAUGAAUUUGUUAGUAGUAAGAGAUUGAAUGACUUGCUAACAUAAAUGUAGUCAAGAUCAUCUAGAAAUUUUCUUCUGCUCAGUGCGGUAAGCUUUUAAAAAAACAAUUGUAUUACUUUUUUAUGCACUGGAAUUACACAAAUCUGUAUUUAUUUUUCUGUUUUCAGAUCGAGAAAUGGGUGAAACAAUAACCCUACUCCUCUACGAUUUUGUAAAACUUAGAAGAUUGCUUCAAUUACAAACAUAACGAGGGAAGGAGGAAAUUGUAAAGUGCUUUGCACCACCUGUCUGCUCUCUGUUAGCAUUGGCCCAAAGCAAAAGAGCACAAAUGUUCAACAAUCAGUUGACGUGUUUGUCUUGAAAAAAUAUGAUCUCGAUAUUUUGACUGAAGCACUUGCAGAUCAUGACUAUGAACGUCUAAUUUUAUUGGGCUGAGUGAAGUGGCAGAAAACGUGGCAUAUAUUGGUAGCUAUGUUGUCAAAAUGCUGGUGAAGACGUUUAAGCGCGCAGACUGCAUUUCUUCUUGCAUUGAAACACGAGGAAGUGACUUACAGUUUUACAGAUUAUUGGACAAAAAAAACAUGGGUGGGCUUAUUAAACCUUUUGCUGGGGUUGUGAAGACUUGUUGUUACUGUUAAUACGAAAAAUUUUGCAACUCACCGAUAAACUUCCAAGCGAUGAACAAUUUUUUAAAACUUUCGGCAUGCCAGCCUUCUUUUUCCUAAUUUAGAAGACCCACGCACUCGAGACGGUGGCCAUCGAUGAAGGCCAUUUAUAUAUUCUUAUUAAACAAAUAAUUAAUGCCUACAUGCGAAUAAGAAUGUUUAAUUUGAGCAAACGACUUUCAUGUCUUGCUCAAGGCACUUCUGUUAGACAUGUGUACACAUAAUUAGUACUGUUUUCGCAUCAAUAAAUAUAUUGAAGUAUAAUUAUGUUUAUUUAUUCGUAUAAGGUGAAAU
Molecule: long non-coding RNA, 2051 nt
Organism: Zophobas morio
Lineage: Eukaryota; Metazoa; Arthropoda; Insecta; Coleoptera; Tenebrionidae
Exons: 5
Source: RefSeq, a predicted model, not a curated record